This 468-nucleotide ribosomal RNA is filed under the name uncultured bacterium. RNAcentral describes it as "partial 16S ribosomal RNA". It matches the Rfam family "Bacterial small subunit ribosomal RNA", at positions 28 to 507 of the family's 1533-position model. The record is from RNAcentral.
GACGAACGCUGGCGGCGUGCUUAACACAUGCAAGUCGAACGGAAAGACCCUGCUUUUGUGGGGUGCUCGAGUGGCGAACGGGUGUGUAACACGUGAGUAACCUGCCCUUGACUUUGGGAUAACUUCAGGAAACUGGGGCUAAUACCGGAUAGGAGCUCCUGCUGCAUAGGGGGGGUUGGAGAGUUUCGGCGGUUGGGGAUGGACUCGCGGCUUAUCAGCUUGUUGGUGGGGUAGUGGCUUACCAAGGCUUUGACGGGUAGCCGGCCUGAGAGGGUGAACGGCCACAUGGGGACUGAGAGACGGACCAGACUCCUACGGGAGGCAGCAGUGGGGAAUAUUGCACAAUGGGCGGAAGCCUGAUGCAGCAACGCCGCGUGCGGGAUGACGGCCUUCGGGUUGUAAACCGCUUUCGCCUGUGAUGAAGCGUGAGUGACGGUAAUGGGUAAAGAAGCACCGGCUAACUACGUG